Molecule: long non-coding RNA, 1216 nt
Filed under: Numida meleagris (helmeted guineafowl)
Lineage: Eukaryota; Metazoa; Chordata; Aves; Galliformes; Numididae
Description: lncRNA (ENSNMEG00000009002.1)
Source: RNAcentral
AUGGAGUUCAAGGAACUGCUGAAACUGAGGUGCUGGGCUGUUCUGGGACUCAGUUGCAUCUUCAGCCCAGGCAAAUCUUGGAGUGAAGAAGUGGUGAGGAACUCCAUUCACAAUCCUCCUUGGAUUUUAGACACAGUGUUUGAAGAAGCUGUUUACCAAGAUGUCCAGCCCAUUCCUUUACUGGAGAUGGUUUGCCAGAAGGGGCAGAAUGAUUAGUAUUUGGUAUUGAUGAACACAGGUAGCCUUCUCAUUAGCUACUACAAUGCAGUCUGAUAUAGUGAUGUAACCUAACAUCAAUGGCAGCUUAAAUUACCUCACUGGCUAUGAACUGCAGCAGUGAAAACAUCUGAUUGAUGAUCCCUGGUGGGUUACGCUGUGGCAGCUGAAGAAGUUACUGCUCCAGCUGUGGGGGAGGUCACCACUCUAGCCUAGUGCAGCUGAAUGUGACAAGGAAAAUGAAUCAAAGCUGUGAGACAUUUUCCUCUGGUUUGGGGAGAGUUGUUUAUCCAGGCUUUGUAUUAUACAAUAAGUCUUGUGUAUACUUUGAAGGCAGUUUGAUGCUAGGCUCCAUUCAGUAUCAGCCGCUCAGCAUUCAGUGUUCCUUCUGCAUCCUGCUGAUCAAAUUUUAGUGGAAUGAAUGUUUCAUCAAACUUCACAUAGAUAAAAAUAGCUUGCGCUCCCAGUGAACGAAAGUGUCUGCAGCUUUAAUGCAUUUCCACCUACUACCUUGCUGAGUUUUACCAUUGUCCAAAACAGACAGCUUGCUUCACAGCACACAAUCUAUUCCAAGAAGGUAGGCUGAGCUAGUUGGAGUCUGCUUGCAGAUUGUACUCGAUGCUGGCACGCAUGUCCCUCAUUUCACCACUGCUGUUUGUAUUAAUCAACAUUCAUUCAAAUUGCUGACACAACAGCCACUAAGGUGAACGUAUCUCUUGACAUCAUUUUGCUGUGCUGACUGGAUCACCACACAGCUUCCCAUUCUUUCCCUUCUUUUCUUUCUGGCACUUUUUCAUAGAGCCCUAGCAAUUUUAAUCACUGAUUUGCUUUUACCCUGUAAUGGGCUGCAAUGCAGUGGCGAUGUGCUAGAAUUUCCAUUUCCUGAUACAUCUUACAAAUGUCACUAGAAUUUAACACCCAAAACUGCUAUUUAGGACACGCUGAGUAUCUCUGUGAUGUCUGGAUUCCCAGAAGAAUGGUGAUGUGUAAUUCUCUAGCC